Molecule: ribosomal RNA, 507 nt
Filed under: Priestia megaterium
Lineage: Bacteria; Bacillati; Bacillota; Bacilli; Caryophanales; Bacillaceae
Description: bacterial SSU rRNA
Rfam family: Bacterial small subunit ribosomal RNA
Source: RNAcentral
AGUCUGACGGAGCAACGCCGCGUGAGUGAUGAAGGCUUUCGGGUCGUAAAACUCUGUUGUUAGGGAAGAACAAGUAUGAGAGUAACUGCUCGUACCUUGACGGUACCUAACCAGAAAGCCACGGCUAACUACGUGCCAGCAGCCGCGGUAAUACGUAGGUGGCAAGCGUUAUCCGGAAUUAUUGGGCGUAAAGCGCGCGCAGGCGGUUUCUUAAGUCUGAUGUGAAAGCCCACGGCUCAACCGUGGAGGGUCAUUGGAAACUGGGGAACUUGAGUGCAGAAGAGAAAAGCGGAAUUCCACGUGUAGCGGUGAAAUGCGUAGAGAUGUGGAGGAACACCAGUGGCGAAGGCGGCUUUUUGGUCUGUAACUGACGCUGAGGCGCGAAAGCGUGGGGAGCAAACAGGAUUAGAUACCCUGGUAGUCCACGCCGUAAACGAUGAGUGCUAAGUGUUAGAGGGUUUCCGCCCUUUAGUGCUGCAGCUAACGCAUUAAGCACUCCGCCUGGGG